This 253-nucleotide ribosomal RNA is filed under the name uncultured bacterium. RNAcentral's name for it is "partial 16S ribosomal RNA". It matches the Rfam family "Bacterial small subunit ribosomal RNA", at positions 524 to 776 of the family's 1533-position model. The record is from RNAcentral.
UACAGAGGUCUCGAGCGUUAGGCGGAAUCACUGGGCUUAAAGCGUGUGUAGGUGGAUCGGUAAGUACCUUGUGAAAUCCCACAGCUUAACUGUGGAACUGCUUGGUAUACUGCCAGUCUUGAGCCACUUAGGGGCUACCGGAACAAAUGGUGGAGCGGUGAAAUGCGUAGAUAUCAUUUGGAACGCCAAUGGUGAAAACAGGUAGCUGGGAGUGUGCUGACACUGAGACACGAAAGCCAGGGGAGCAAACGGG